RNAcentral lists this ribosomal RNA (388 nucleotides) under uncultured bacterium. RNAcentral's name for it is "bacterial SSU rRNA". It matches the Rfam family "Bacterial small subunit ribosomal RNA", at positions 29 to 416 of the family's 1533-position model. The record is from RNAcentral.
AUUGAACGCUGGCGGAAUGCUUUACACAUGCAAGUCGAGCGGCAGCGCGGGGGCAACCCUGGCGGCGAGCGGCGAACGGGUGAGUAAUACAUCGGAACGUGUCCUUAAGUGGGGGAUAGCUCGGCGAAAGCCGGAUUAAUACCGCAUAAGCUCUGAGGAGGAAAGCGGGGGCUCCGUAAGGACCUCGCGCUGUUGGAGCGGCCGAUGUCGGAUUAGCUAGCUGGUGGGGUAAAGGCCCACCAAGGCGACGAUCCGUAGCUGGUCUGAGAGGAUGAUCAGCCACACUGGAACUGAGACACGGUCCAGACUCCUACGGGAGGCAGCAGUGGGGAAUUUUGGACAAUGGGGGCAACCCUGAUCCAGCCAUUCCGCGUGAGUGAAGAAGGCC